Molecule: ribosomal RNA, 467 nt
Filed under: uncultured bacterium
Lineage: Bacteria
Description: partial 16S ribosomal RNA
Rfam family: Bacterial small subunit ribosomal RNA
Source: RNAcentral
GACGAACGCUGGCGGCGUGCUUAACACAUGCAAGUCGAACGGAAAGGCCUCUUUCGGGUGGUACUCGAGUGGCGAACGGGUGAGUAACACGUGAGUAACCUGCCCUUGACUUUGGGAUAACUUCAGGAAACUGGGGCUAAUACCGGAUAGAAGCUCCUGCUGCAUGGAGGGGGUUGGAUAGGUUCGGCGGUUGGGGUUGGACUCGCGGCUUAUCAGCUUGUUUGUGGGGUAGUGGCUUACCAAGGCUUUGCCGGGUAGCCGGCCUGAGAGGGUGACCGGCCACCUUGGGACUGAGGUACGGCCCAGACUCCUACGGGCGGCAGCAGUGGAGAAUAUUGCACAAUGGGUGGGAGCCUGAUGCAGCAGUGCCGUGUGCGGGAUGACGGCCUUCGGGUUGUAAACCGCUUUCGCUCAUGACGAAGCUUUGUGUGACGGUAGUGGGUAAAGAAGCACCGGCUAACUAGGUG